UGGGGAAUAUUGGACAAUGGGGGCAACCCUGAUCCAGCAAUGCCGCGUGUGUGAAGAAGGUCUUCGGAUUGUAAAGCACUUUCGACGGGGACGAUGAUGACGGUACCCGUAGAAGAAGCCCCGGCUAACUUCGUGCCAGCAGCCGCGGUAAUACGAAGGGGGCUAGCGUUGCUCGGAAUGACUGGGCGUAAAGGGCGUGUAGGCGGUUUACACAGUCAGAUGUGAAAUCCCCGGGCUUAACCUGGGAGCUGCAUUUGAUACGUGUAGACUAGAGUGUGAGAGAGGGUUGUGGAAUUCCCAGUGUAGAGGU
Molecule: ribosomal RNA, 310 nt
Filed under: uncultured bacterium
Lineage: Bacteria
Description: partial 16S ribosomal RNA
Rfam family: Bacterial small subunit ribosomal RNA
Source: RNAcentral